Non-coding RNA from Parelaphostrongylus tenuis, 72 nucleotides. The record is from the annotation of a GenBank genome assembly. Lineage: Eukaryota; Metazoa; Nematoda; Chromadorea; Rhabditida; Metastrongylidae.
GCGUCAGUGGUGCACCGGCUAACAUACGCUCCCGGAAAGAGUGAGAUCUGCGUUCGAAUCCCAGCUGUCGCA